GAUGAACGCUGGCGGCGUGCUUAACACAUGCAAGUCGAGCGAUGAAGUUUCCUUCGGGAAACGGAUUAGCGGCGGACGGGUGAGUAACACGUGGGUAACCUGCCUCAUAGAGUGGAAUAGCCUUCCGAAAGGAAGAUUAAUACCGCAUAACGUUGAAAGAUGGCAUCAUCAUUCAACCAAAGGAGCAAUCCGCUAUGAGAUGGACCCGAGGCGCAUUAGCUAGUUGGUGGGGUAACGGCCUACCAAGGCGACGAUGCGUAGCAGACCUGAGAGGGUGAUCGGCCACAUUGGGACUGAGACACGGCCCAGACUCCUACGGGAGGCAGCAGUGGGGAAUAUUGCACAAUGGGGGAAACCCUGAUGCAGCAACGCCGCGUGAGUGAUGAAGGUUUUCGGAUCGUAAAGCUCUGUCUUUGGGGAAGAUAAUGACGGUACUCAAGGAGGAAGCCACGGCUAACUACGUGCCAGCCGCCGCAGUAA
Molecule: ribosomal RNA, 480 nt
Filed under: uncultured bacterium
Lineage: Bacteria
Description: partial 16S ribosomal RNA
Rfam family: Bacterial small subunit ribosomal RNA
Source: RNAcentral